Non-coding RNA from Oncorhynchus mykiss (rainbow trout), 5791 nucleotides. The record is from RefSeq and is a predicted model, not a curated record. Lineage: Eukaryota; Metazoa; Chordata; Actinopteri; Salmoniformes; Salmonidae.
ACCCGGAUAUGUCAUUUGUUUUCCAUCCAUUAGUUGUCGCUCGAUUGGUCAUGCUGGCUGCUGACUAACACAGGGAAGGAGGACAACAUUUGACAACAACAUGGACCUUUGAAAAUAACUGAGACUUCAACACAGUCUUGGACAACAGCAAACUGCAAACAUGACAAAUGUGUACUCGUUGGAUGGGAUUGUGGUAUUUGGAAUUCUGUUCAUCUGUACAUGUGCAUACCUCAAGAAGGUGCCUCGCCUCAACAGCUGGCUACUCUCAGAAAAGAAAGGUGUGUGGGGGGUGUUCUAUAAAGCUGCAGUGAUUGGGACUAGACUCCACCAUGCUGUGGCGAUAACCUGUCUGACGAUGGCAUUGUACCUGGUCUCCUUAAAGUGACAGUGUCAGGCUGGGAUGGACCAGACUGGACUAGGAUGGACUGGAGUGGACCGGACAUGGCCAGGCUUGGCUGGGCUGGAUUGGCCUGUGCUGGUUUGCCACCCAUGGACACUGUUUGGACAAUGUGUGCCCAACACUCCCAAUUUAUUCACCCAGGACCUGUAAAGGAUAAGGAUAAGCCAAUAGUGCCCCACAUUAGGUAAAUAAGAUCCCUGUAGCUCACUGCACUCUUCUAAACCUGACAUCAUCCAUCCCUGCAUGACACAACUGUCAUCCAGUUUACCCUGAGUUUCCUGUACAGAUCUUAUAGAACAGUGUUUCUAUUCUUGAGGUGCACAUUCUUUGUUCUGGCUCAACACUAACACAUCUGAUUCUACUGUUUAAUUGCUCAACCAGUCACCAAGCCAUUGAAUAGUUGAAUCGGGUGUGUUAGCUCUGGGCUGAAACAAAACCGUGGUCCACCUGGAAUGGAUUAGGGAUCACAGUGAUAGAGAUGUCAGCAGGCUAAGUAGUGUCAGCAUGCUGAUGUACUCAGCACGCUCAUGUGUUGAGUAGUAUCUUUAUUUAAUACUGUUGUUAGCAGAAAUUGUUGUUUAAUAAUUUUUAUUAUCAUCUAAUUACCAUUCUCAACGGUUUAUUCUGGGGAAAGGACUGGUAUUAAGGAAUAGCCUAAAAUAAUGUGGAAAAUAUUAAUUCCUGUUUAAAGUCAGACUUCGGUUGUAUAUAUUUAGGGGGGAAAGUCAGUAUAAUAGAUUUUAAAAAGCUGUUUUCUGUAGAGCACCAUAGAGAAGAGCAUCACAUGCAUUGUUGUUAAGUCUAAAUAUCUCUUUGUUUAUUCAAAGGUAUUUUUUAACGUUAAAGUGGUUGUACGUUGUCAUGAUUAUCGUCACUAUCAUUUUUCAACAACCUGGAAUAACCCUGGGCCAUAGUUAAAAGCUAUAAGGUCACAUGUUCAGGUAAACUCUUGGUUCCUUGCCAAAUUUUCACAAACAACUAAUAUAGGAGAAAUGUCUUGGUGUCCAGCUUAACCUCUUAUUUUCUUUCAACCUCUGUUCUUCUUUUUUUUGCUCUGUAAUUUAUGUAUGAUUUCCCUGUUUGGAAAAACCACUACAGAUUUCUGCACCAGUGCUUUGUGACUGGCCCGCUGUAUGUUGUGUGACAAUAGCGCUCAUCAUCUUUGGGGAAAAUAAAUUUUAAAAAAUUACUUAAAACACCUUAACAGUGCUGUAUGUUACAUUUUAGUGAAAGAUGCAAUGAGAACCUCUGUCAAUGAAAGUGUGCAACUCAUGACCACAGCUCAAUAACAUGUACAUUGUGGCGUUGUCUUAAUCUACAGUAAGUUAUAUAUUUAAAACCUUUAUUUAACUAAGCAAGUCAGUUAAGAACAAAUUCUUAUUUACAAUGACGGUCUACACCGGCCAAACCCGGACGACGCUGGGCCAAUUUUGCGCCGCCCUAUGGGACUCCCAAUCACGGCUGUUUGUGAUACAGCCUGGAUUCAAACUAGGGUGACGCCUCUAGUACUCAGAUGCAGUGCCUUAGACCGCUGCCUCACUCGGGAGCCCAUUGUUGGAGAGAUAGCAACCCUUAAAGCACUCUUGUAUGAUAAUGGUGGGUUAAAUUGUGGAUGAGGGUAGAAUAGACUGACAAUAUCCCUUUUCAUUGCUUUCACCAUUAUGUUUUGUAUACUUUAGAAAUUAUUAUGUUAACUGGUGUUGAUGACUGGGAUUUCAAAAAAAGGUCCAAUGAAAGAUCUCCUUUGUUUCUUUCUGAUUGUUUUACAGAAUUAUGUUCACACUCCUCAAACGAAACAAACCUAGGGCUUGAUUCAAUCCGUAUCGCCGAAAUUGCGCGUUAUUGUGGGUUUGCAAUUUAAAGGUAAUUUCCGAUUGAGCUGACAUAUGCAGUCUCCGCAAACGCGGGAAUAUUACCUUAUAUAGGCCAGGGUUUCUCCAAGAAUCUCAAUAUCCAUAUUUGGUUAACUCUCUUGAAAUAGAUGUUAACUGCUGUCUGCGUUCUCAGGUGGAUAAUUCCCCAUCUGCUCCCCCCCCCCCCCCCCCUGCUCUCUCUUGAGCUGAGCAGCUGUGACACCAGUUUCUCCUGCUGGAGGGAGAGUGGGAGGGAGCGACAAUUAGACAGGGAAUCAGAUUUGACCUGCAUAGAGCUGUAAGAUGUACCUGUUCAACAUAACACCACAUUCACUUACACCGCUGCUGAUUCAACUCUGAGUGAUGGCAUAGCUUGACCUGGAAACAAGACCAAGAUUUUACUUUGGCGUGCAUGUCUGUGUGUGUGCGAGAGCUUCUCCCUCAAUCAAGAUUCAUCCCGAGAGAGCACAAGCUUCCCUCUUUCUUCAGAGCAGCAGUUCAGCUGUUAUGUGACUAUCCCUGCACACAGGUGUUUACAGGAAAUGGAUAUCAGAAGCCACAGGAGAGGUGAGUUCUUUAUUGUGCAUUUUGUUGGCAAUAACAUUUCAUCUUGCCAAAGAGCAUGAAUAGUAAUGGGAAACAAUAAUUUAUUACCUUAAAGAUGACUCAUACAAUACCUCAAUGAAGUGUCCUAUUCCUUUCCCCAGCAAUUACUACAUAAUAACCAUUUACUUUGUAAUCUUCAGUAAAUACUAAGGCAAUUAUGGUUAACAAAAAAUAGGGCUGUCAGAGUUAACCAGUCAACUUGAGUUAACCUUUUAUGUAAUUGUAGUGCAACAUAUUGUUUUGCCGUGAAUAAUCGUAUUGUCUGAAAGCAUUUUAAAUACACUAAACAUCAUUUAGAGCUAAAAACAGUUGAGGUUAAAUAAAGUGUGCUUUAUCAAUGUACCUGAUUUUGGACCAAAUCAAGACGAAAAUGAUUGUAAUGAUUUUCAAUCUUAAAUUACAGCUUACUUUUAAGCAAAUUCUGAAUUUGCAAUAAAUCGGGAUUAAUAACAGCAAAUCCUGCGAUUAAUCCGAUUGCAUUUAUCGUUUGACAGCCCUAUUAAAAAUGUAACAAUCUCCUCUUCCUCUGUCAGGGAGCUACGUCUGUCGAAAGGCCCAUUUGUUCGUCUCUGUCUGUCAAGGGCCACGAUGACAUUAUCCAUGACCUCAUCCAUCCUGGAAUCCGACCAAUCCCGUCCUGGAAUCUCCUCUACACCGUGACCACCAGUGCGAGUUGAUGCUCAGUCACAGAUGGUGGAAACAGUUAACAGUCAACACGACCAGGUUGUAAUGGGAGACCAGAUUUAACUGUCAUAUUAGGCCCGCUGAGACAAUGUUGUUAUAUAGCUUACAGUAGUGGAAUAAUACUAUUUAUUCCUAAAUUACAGUUAUACAGUACCAAUAAGUAUAGGUGUAUACAUAUUGAUAUGAGUACCAUCUCAGUUCUGGAAAACUGUGCCAAAACAGCUCUAAGUCUGCUGGCUUUUGUCUUAGUAACAAAGGUAGAUGGCAUUUUAUUCCAACAAAUAACUGCUUAAUAAAGAUUUUAUUACAAAAAUACACUUUUCAAAAGCAUUUCAAUGAAAUGCUCAAUAGGUCAAAAUGUUUUAAACAAACAAUGAGGAGAGGACAGUCAUAGAAUGUCUUUCAACAUCUUUAAUGGAAGCAGUUAUUUUUUUCGUUUGUUGAAAAGUAAUGCCAGCUGGAAAAUUGCCAAUACAGAAGCUCAGCUGAAAACACACACAGCUCUGUUGGGCAUCACUGGGCUUUGCAAAUACGUCUACCAAACACAGACAGCGGGUGGGUUAAAUCUCCCAGCAGAACAGAACAGGCUCUCAAUAAUCAGGGGAGAAGAGAGAGGCCAACAUUAUACAUUUUUAACCUCAAUACAACUCCAAACACCAUCAAGCUCUGAAUGUAUAAUUCUGGGCCAUUGUUCCUCAUCAAUAGGUAAUAAGCACCAUAUUCAUAUCAAUAUAAUCACUUUCAUCACAUUCACCAAUAGGUCCACUUUCACUCAAAGACAGACCCAGGAAUUUGUAAAUAUAGACAAGAAUGAGGUGGAUGAAAUUAUACCUUGAAGACAGAAUGAAGUGUGUCAGUUAGCAAUGAGCUGUCGCCCACUAUGAUGUGGGCGUGCCCCAAGGUUCAAUACUGGGGCUCCUUCUAAUUCAGCCUGUACAUUAAUUAUCUGCCUUCUGUCUGUACUUGAUCUGAAGUUCAAAUGUAUGCAGAUGAUAUAGUGAUAUGUGCCUGCAAAGAGCAACCAAGCUGCACAAGAACUCACUAUUGUAAUGGUCCAGGUUACAAAGUGGCUCAGUGACUCAUGUUUGCAUCUCAAUGUGAAGAAAAAAAACAGUCUGCAUGUUCUUCACAAAGAGGGCAACUGAUGCUACUGAACCAGAUGUCUAUGUGUCAGGGGAGAAGCUCCAAGUGGUGUCUGAUUUUAAGUACAUUGGCAUCAUACUUGAUUCCAAACUCUUUUAAAAAGCAAGUGAAAAAGGUAACUCAACCUAGCUAUUUUCCGAUUCAUAUAAAAUUGUGACUACUGAGGUAGCAAAACUGUACUAUGAUACUCCCCCACUUAACAUACUGCUUGACUAGUUGGGCCCAAGCUUGCUGUACAACAUUAAAACCCAUUGUCUAUCUACAAACAGCCUCUCAAAGUGCUUCAUAGGAAGCACAAUAGCCAUCAUCACUGUCACAUCCUCAGAAAGCAUGAGCUCCUGAGUUGGAAAAAUCUUGUGCAAGAUCCUAAAUGGCCUGGCUCCCCCUCCACUCAGGACUUCUGUUAAUUCAAAAAACCCAAACCCAUGGCAGCAGAUCCACAAGGUCUGCCAUGAGAGGUGACUACAGUUGAAGGAAAAACACCUUUCGUCAAUCUGCUUUUUCUGUGAGAGCUUCCCAUGUCUGGAAUACACCUUGAGCAAUGUCUUCAUGUUUUUUGUGAAGUUGCGAUAGGUGCAGUUGUGUGUGUCAUCAGACACACACAACUGCACCUAUCGCAACUUCACAAAAAACAUGAAGACAUUGCUCAAGGCCAAUCACACUUGUGAACAUAAUCACUAGCUGUGUAUGGCUGCUUUCCAUGUUAUUUGUAGCUUUUGAGGUGUGAAAACACUUUGUUGCUAUUAUGUAUUUUGUUGCUUUUUGUGCUAUUGCUCUCUCUGCAUGCUACGUGUUGCUUGUCCUAUGUUGCUCUGCGUGUGUUUACUGCUCAAUGAUUGUCUGUAUUGUUAUUGUUUUGAAUAACCUGCCCAGGGACUGCGGUGGAAAAUGAGCUAAAAAUGGCUAAAAUCGGCACUUUCACUGAAACGUUGAUUAUGGAUAUGUAAAAAUAAACAAACUUGGGUCUCUUUAUUGUCCUACCAGUAAGGUGAAUACCAGUUCCUUUAAGUACACUCACUCCCAACAUGCUGUUAAUAAUAAAUACAUUGACUCCUGUCCUAUUCUGUGGUACCAGUUUGCUUCAUUUUAGUCCGUGAGGGCUCCA